Molecule: long non-coding RNA, 5620 nt
Filed under: Sus scrofa (pig)
Lineage: Eukaryota; Metazoa; Chordata; Mammalia; Artiodactyla; Suidae
Description: lncRNA (ENSSSCG00055015397.1)
Source: RNAcentral
AAGGAGCCCUGUAGGGUCAAGAUAGUAUGACUUGUUAUUCUUCUGAUCAUGAAAGUUGAGAGUCUGGGUUCUCAAAUGGGUAAGAUGGAAGGAUCUUUCACAAUCUUUCACAGAAUGGCCAGUGAGUGCUGCUAAAAUGACAGAUUAGAUUGAUGUCUUGAUGGAGAGGAAAGAAUUUAGCUGAGAUGGCUGUUCAGGGUUCUCAGAGGGAAAAUUUAUUUCUUCACACUGAUGAAAAAGUAGUUUGUACUUGCUUUCCUUUGUAAUAAGAUUGGAUACAGAACCUUAACAAAAAGUUAAUUCCAUCCUGGUCUGUUAUAUUCAAUACUUUCAUACAUUAUAGUGAUAUACCAUCUAAAAAUAAUGUCUUAAAAAAAGUAUAUAAAUUUACAUCUUCAAUCUAAGUGAUUAGCAUUUUUAUUUUAAAUAUAACUUUUUAAACCUGUGGAAUGGAGACAAAAAGAAUGUUUUAUUUUUAAUAGUAUUGCAAAGAUUAAUGUGACUAUGACUUUAAUAUAAAGCCUUUGCCAUGUGGUAUGAUGUAAAACGUUAAUAGGUAAUUAUUUCUUGAAGAUCUACUACAUGGCAUCACGUGCUGAAAUACAGUGUACCAGAUAGUAAAUCUGUUCUUCCAGAGAUUAUAUGUUAGUGGUAAAAGCCAGACAAAAAUACAAGUAAAAUAUAUAUGAUUCAAAAAAUAAGUAAGGAAGAAUAAUGUGGAUCAGUUAAAACUGAAGCAGCAGAAAACCACAGUUUUAUUUGCCUUGGGUCAGAAGACAGGUUGUGGAUCUCCAGAGUGUUGGAAAGGAUAGAGCAAUGGUGAAUGAUAUCAAAAUCUACCUAUAAAAUUCUGUGAAAUUCCUUCAAACCCAUGGCUCACCUUUUUUCUGCAUAUGUGCUAUGUUCCAAGUUGCCCAAGUAGAUAACAAUAACUGAAAGGCCAAAAGAACUGAUAAGAGAUUUAAAAUGCAGAGGUAAGAGAAUUUGGAGCUCAAGUCCAGCCAAACCAAAAGAGCUUGGUAAAUAUUCAGAUUUUCCACACAAAGUAAAGAUCAUAGAGUAAAGAUUAUGUCUAGGACUAAGUGAUUUCCUUGGGUUAGAAGCCAAAUCAACAUAGUCCCACUCAUAAAAUCAAACCUCAACAAUUUUAAAAUAAUCUGCAAGUCAUUUAACUCUUUGGUAGAAAAGAACUCAACAAUUUCAAGGGAAAAUAAAAUCAUAAUGAUACUCACAUAUUUACAAUGUCUAGCAUACAUCAGGGAUUAUUAGGCACUUGAAAAAACAGGAAAAUGUGAGAGGAAACUAAAAACAGAAUAGCAUAUGACCCAGAUUUUAGAAUUUUGUAGUACAGACUAUUAGUAGUAUGUUAAAGACUUUAGAGAGAAAGACUGUUAUAAUAGUUGAAGACAUGAAAGAAUGUUAGGAGAGAUUUGUAAAAAGAACCAAAUAGAAACUUAAGAACAAAAAAAUACAAUAUAUGAAAUCAAAUAUUUAUUGGAUGGGAUCAAACACACUCUAUGUAACCACAGAAGAAAGGAUCAUUAAACUUGUAGACAGUACAAUGUAUAUGCCAUCAAAAUUAAAACGCAGAAUAAAAUGGAAAAAAAUUGCAAGAUUCAAUGAUGUUUAGGAGCAUAUGAAGCUAUCAUUAUUGGAUACUAUUGGAGUCUGAGAAAGAUGAAGUAUGAAACAAAGAAACUUUAAAGAAACAUUGGCUAAAGUGUUUAUAAAUUUAAUUUUUAAACAACUCACAAAUCAAUUUCAGUGAAUAUUGAAUGCUAAAAAUGCAAUGAAAAUGAAGUCUAGACACAUAGUCUAACUGCUGAAAAUUAAAGAUAAAGAGGAAAUCUUAAAAGCAGCCAGGAUGAAAGUGAGAAGAAAGUAUAUGAUUUUUCAACAGAAACAAUGGAGGUGAGAAGGUAACAGAAUGUUAUUUUUAAAGUAAUGAAAGAUUUUAAAAAAUUCAUCAACCGAGAAUUCUAUAUUAUGGAAAAACUAUUUUCCAAUAAAAGAAGGCAGUAAAUUCUGAGUAAAAUUAUUGCCAGCAGACUUGCACUAUCAACAUCUUAAUGGGAGUUUUUCUAGCUGAAGAGAAAUGAUGGUAGGAUAUACAUUAAAGAACAAACACUGGAGAUAUUAAACAUAUAGAUAAAUGUAAAAUGUUACUUUUUUUUUCAUCCUUUAAAAAAGAUGAUUGAUAUAUUCAGGGCAAUGAAGUUUGACCCCUAUCUUACUCCACUCACAAAAAAUUAACUAGAAAUAAAUUAAAGGGUUAAAACAAGAGCUGAUAGUAUAACACUCCUAGAAAAAAGUGUCAGGAGAAAGCUCCUUGACAUUGAUUUUGGCAAUGUUUUUGGAUAUGAUACCAAAAGCACAAACAACAAACGUAAAAAUAAAAAAUAAAAAAAUGGCAGUAUAUCAAACUUAAAAACUUUUGCAUAGCAACAGAAAUUUUUAAAAAAUGAAGAGGCAACCUACCUAAUGGGAAAACAUUUGCAAAAUAUAUACAAGGGAUUAAUAUCCAAAAUAUAUUAAGAACUCAUACAACUCAACAGCAAAAAGGGAAAAAUCCAAUUAAAAAUGGGCAGAAAAACUAAAACAUUUUCCCAAAGAAUACAGACAAACAGCUAACAGAUACAAGAAUAGAUGCUCAACAUCACUAAUCAUUAGGAAGACGCAAAUUAAAACCACAAGGAGCUGUCACCUCAAACCUGUUAGAAUGGCUGUCAUUAAGACAAGAGAUAACAAGUGCUGGUGAGAAUGUAGAGAAAAGGGAAUGCUUGUUCCCAGUUAGUGGGGAUAUAAAUUGGUACAUCCACUAUGGAAAACAGUACGGAGAUUUCUUAAAAUGUUAAAAAUAGAGCUACCAUGUGAUCCAGCAAUUCCACUGCUGGCUAUAUAUCCAGAGAAAAUGAAAACACACUAACUCAAAAAGAUAUAUGAAUUCCCAUGUUCAUUGCAGCAUUAUUUACAAUAGCCAAGAUAUGAAAACAUAAGUGCUUAUUUGUAGAUGAAUGGGUAAAGAAAAUGUGGUCCAGAAAUACAAUGGAGUAUUAUUCAGCCAUCAGAAAGGAGGGCAUCCUGCCAUUUCCAACAACGUAUAUAGACUUUGAGCACAUUAUGCUAAAUGUUGCAUAAGGGUAUAAACUUAUGAUUAGUAAGUAAUCCCCAGAGAUCUGAUGCACAGUACAGUAAAUAUAGACAAUGAUAUUGUAUUAAGAUCAUCAAACCAGCUGUUACCAGAAUUUAAUUUUUCCAACUACUAAAAAGAACAGAUAAUUAUGUAAUGAGUGAUAAUUUUCCCUAUGAUGACAAUUGUAUUAGUGUAUAAGUGCAUCAAAUUAACAUGCUGUAUACCUUAAAUGUAUACAAUAUUAUCUGUCGUAUUUCAGUAAAGAGGCCAUUUUUAGAUUCACAUGUAAUAAUACUGUGGAGUUAAUAGCAUGUGGAAAAUUAGUAUUGUCAACAACAUACAAAGAAUGGGAAUGUUUUAAAUAAGACUACAGAUUUUAUAUGUGAAAUUAUAUGUGAAAUGUUAGUAAUUCAUGUUAGAAUGUGGUAAGUUAAAAAUGCAUAUUGUAAUCCUUGAAAAAUAUAAAACGGUAUAGCUAAAAAGAUAAUAUAAGAUACAGAAUAGAAAGUGAAAAUAUAAAAACAAAUUUAAGUAUUAAAAUUAUCCUGAAUAUAUAUGUUCUCUGAACACACUAUAACUCAAUUUUGAAUUAAUAAUUAUAUCUGGAGAAUUAAUCUUUAGAAAUUAAACACUAUACUUCCAAAAAGCCCAUGAGUCAGAAAAAAAAUCACAAGGUAAACUAGAAAAUAUUUCAGAGAUCAGAAAAUCAACAAUUUCCUAGUGUAUAGCACAGAUACUCAAUGUCCUAUGAUAACCCAUAAGGGAAAAGAAUAUAAAAAAGAAUGUGUGUGUGUAUAUAUAGAAAUUAACACAACAUUGUAAGUCACCUGUACUUCAAUGAAAAAGGAAAUAUUUUAAACUUCCUAUUGAUAAAAUCACAGAAUAUUAAAAUUUAUGGGAAGCAGCUAAAGCUGUAAUUAAAGGAAAUUUUAUAGCUUUUAAAGGAGACAAAAUCAAUAGGUUUCAUUACAAUUUUUUCCAAAAAGAAAAACAGAAAAAAGGAGAUAAUCUAGAUAGGAAUGAUAAUCAAUGAAAGAGAAAACUUCAAAAAAAUAAUAGAGAAAAUUAACAAAGCCAAAUGUUGGCUGGAAAGAUUAAUGAAAAUUAUUUAUAAAAUAUAUAAACCUGUGUAAAAGUGAAUCAAGACAGGAAAUAAAAGAAAAAAUCUUGCCUUUAUUACAAAUGAUAGAGGAAACAUAGCAAAGUUCCUACAUUUGUUGAAAAGUUAAAAGAUUAUUAUGCUGAUAAAUUUGAUAUCCUUUUGAUAAAAGGAUAAAAGUCCUUGAAAAGCAGUUUACCAGUUCUAACAAACAUUAUACUUAGUGAAAGAAGGCUAAUAUGAAAGAACACAUCUCUCUGAUUCCAUUCCUAUCAAGGUGGUAGCACUGGCUGACUGAAGUAUACUGAGGGAAAUAAGAACCAUAGUUUCCUCUGGUGGUGGGCCAAAAAUUGUAAACUAUGCACAAAAUCUGUCCUAUUUUACCUUAUAUGUAUUAAAACUCAAUUGAAAGUAUAAGUAGACAUGAUAUUUCAUAUAGUGAUAAAUAUUAGAAAAUUCAAGAAGGCAGUCUGAUACAGGUUGACUAUAAGAGCAAGAAGAAUUGGAUUUGGGUUGGGUGGGUGUCAGUAAAGACUUCCCUGGGAAGGUAGCAUUUAAACUGAGACCUAAAACGAAAUGAGUCACAGGAAGAUUUGGUGAUUGUGCUUUCUAGAUAUAAGGCUCAGCUUGAGCAAAGGCCCCAAAGUAGUAAAAAGCCUGUUAUUAUUUGGGCACCAGAGAAAAAUCAGUGGGAUUAGAACGUCUUGAGCCUGUGGGUGGUGGGAGCUGAAGUUAGGAGAGGCAGGGACCAGUUAGAAAUUUGGGAAAAAAAAGUUAAGAAUAUGAAUUUAAAAUGCUGUUUUAAAUCUACAGAAGGACCUCAGUACUUAGUUCUAUUAAUCAUCGGCAGUCUAUUUUUUACAUAUCUAAAUGUUGCUAAGGUUUCACUCUAUUUUUACCUAGUACAAUUAAAAUUAGCAAAUCAACUCUUGGAAACAAUAUAAGGAGAUACUUUGUAAACUUUUCUAGUUGGCUGUAAUGGCAAAAUAUAGAGGAAAACAUGGAGAAGACAAGGAAAGGAUGGACGUGGCAGAAAGAUGGGACCUGAGAAGAACUGGGUGGGAAGAAAAGCAUUACAGAAUCUUUUACAAGUGGGAUGUGUGUAUGUGUGAGAAAGAAUUGGCAAGGGGAAAAAAUGAAGCACUUUUGAGCAUUUGACGUCUCACAUACCCCUUCUCCAAUUUUUAAAACAAAAACAAAACAUUUCAUGUAGAAUUUGAAUAUCACAAAGUCUUUAACCAUGAAAGCAAACCACAUUCUGUUGCCUUCCAGCUCUGAGUAUUUCUUUGGAUGUGACCUAAUGGAAUUGCAAAGUAAAAUCUGUUUUACAUCCAUCAAGAAGUGUUUUGGAACAGUAAUGCCUAAAAAAAAAAAAAAAAAAAAAAAAA